GCGGAAGUAGUUCAGCGGUUAGAAUGCCUCCUUGCCAAGGAGGAGGUCGUGGGUUCGAAUCCCAUCUUCCGCUCCA
This 76-nucleotide transfer RNA is filed under the name Chloroflexi bacterium RBG_13_53_26. RNAcentral describes it as "tRNA-Gly". It matches the Rfam family "tRNA". Rfam says of the family: Transfer RNA (tRNA) molecules are approximately 80 nucleotides in length. Their secondary structure includes four short double-helical elements and three loops (D, anti-codon, and T loops). Lineage: Bacteria; Bacillati; Chloroflexota. The record is from RNAcentral. RNAcentral also lists the same sequence under 2 other names.